RNAcentral lists this ribosomal RNA (253 nucleotides) under uncultured bacterium. RNAcentral describes it as "partial 16S ribosomal RNA". It matches the Rfam family "Bacterial small subunit ribosomal RNA", at positions 524 to 776 of the family's 1533-position model. The record is from RNAcentral.
UACGAGUGCCCCAAGCGUUAUCCGGAAUCAUUGGGCGUAAAGGGUGUGUAGGUGGUCUAGUUAGUCUUCUGUCAAAUUCUUCGGCUUAACCGGGGUCCUGCAGAGGAAACGGCUAGACUAGAGUGUGCAAGGGGUGAAUGGAACUCAUGGAGUAGGGGUGAAAUCCGUUGAUAUCAUGGGGAACACCAAAAGCGAAGGCAAUUCACUGGGGCAUCACUGACACUGAAACACGAAAGCGUGGGUAGCGAACUGG